This 271-nucleotide long non-coding RNA is filed under the name Homo sapiens (human). RNAcentral's name for it is "non-protein coding lnc-NRG1-4:1". Lineage: Eukaryota; Metazoa; Chordata; Mammalia; Primates; Hominidae. The record is from RNAcentral.
AUGGAUAGUAAAGACAGGAAAAUUAAGGCAAAAUUUAUUGUCUUCCAGUGAAACAAAUAUCACUAGUGCUACGACAUUUCUGCCAGAAGCAAUGGCAACUUUGAAAGACCUUUUCAUUGGCUUGCUGGAAAACUAACUGACAAUGCUUACCAGAAGUGCCUUGCUGUGUUUGUUCUGGUCCUACCAGAGGUUGCCAUGGAUCUACCUCUGGAAACUCAUGAAGCACAUGACUUAGUGUGGCUCUGACAACUGUUCUCCUGAGGGGAAUGAU